Molecule: long non-coding RNA, 382 nt
Filed under: Homo sapiens (human)
Lineage: Eukaryota; Metazoa; Chordata; Mammalia; Primates; Hominidae
Description: non-protein coding lnc-THOC2-5:1
Source: RNAcentral
UCAUUCGGUUUGGACCAGAAGGAGGUUUUCCUCCUCCAUUUCCACCUUUGCCCUUUUCUGCUGGGCCCUUUUUGCCUUUUUUACAAGUUUGCCUUUGCCUUGCUUUUGGUUUUUUCCUUCGAUAUCUUCAAAAUCUGUGUCAGAAGAAAAAUGUGUUUCUGACUCUGUAGUAGAUUAAAAUCAGUUGGUAUUUCUGGAGCUGCUAUCAUUUCUUUAUCAUCUUCUGGAACACCUCAAUGUCAGAAAUAUAUUCAUAUAUUUACGUGGGUAAAAUGGUGGCUUGCCUUCUUUCUUCUAAGACAAUUCUCCCCCCUCAGCGUACACAGAGGCAGCAACGAGACUGUUCGCCUCCCCCACUCCUCCUUCUUUCUCAGGCCGGGGG